Molecule: ribosomal RNA, 599 nt
Filed under: Salinibacterium amurskyense
Lineage: Bacteria; Bacillati; Actinomycetota; Actinomycetes; Micrococcales; Microbacteriaceae
Description: bacterial SSU rRNA
Rfam family: Bacterial small subunit ribosomal RNA
Source: RNAcentral
GCUCUGUGGAUUAGUGGCGAACGGGUGAGUAACACGUGAGUAACCUGCCCUUGACUCUGGAAUAAGCGUUGGAAACGACGUCUAAUACCGGAUACGAGCUUCCGCCGCAUGGUGAGGAGUUGGAAAGAAUUUCGGUCAAGGAUGGACUCGCGGCCUAUCAGGUAGUUGGUGAGGUAAUGGCUCACCAAGCCUACGACGGGUAGCCGGCCUGAGAGGGUGACCGGCCACACUGGAACUGAGACACGGUCCAGACUCCUACGGGAGGCAGCAGUGGGGAAUAUUGCACAAUGGGCGCAAGCCUGAUGCAGCAACGCCGCGUGAGGGACGACGGCCUUCGGGUUGUAAACCUCUUUUAGUAGGGAAGAAGUGAUGUGCUUGUCACAUCAUGACGGUACCUGCAGAAAAAGCACCGGCUAACUACGUGCCAGCAGCCGCGGUAAUACGUAGGGUGCAAGCGUUAUCCGGAAUUAUUGGGCGUAAAGAGCUCGUAGGCGGUUUGUCGCGUCUGCUGUGAAAACUGGAGGCUCAACCUCCAGCCUGCAGUGGGUACGGGCAGACUAGAGUGCGGUAGGGGAGAUUGGAAUUCCUGGUGUAGCGGU